Molecule: unclassified non-coding RNA, 300 nt
Filed under: uncultured fungus
Lineage: Eukaryota; Fungi
Description: partial contains small subunit ribosomal RNA, internal transcribed spacer 1, and 5.8S ribosomal RNA
Rfam family: Eukaryotic small subunit ribosomal RNA (bases 1-73)
Source: RNAcentral
GCAAACUUGGUCAUUUAGAGGAAGUAAAAGUCGUAACAAGGUCUCCGUAGGUGAACCUGCGGAGGGAUCAUUACAGAGUUGUAAAACUCCCAAAACCCAGUGCGAAUCUUACCAGUUGUCUUCGUUGCUUCGGCAGGCGGUCCCAGGGCGGGACCUUUGUCUUUACAGGCGCCUGCCGGAGGACCACACAAGCUCUGUUAUUUGUUAUUCUGAAUAUCUAAAAGUCUCUACAACGGGACGAAAUAAGUCAAAACCUUCAACAACGGAUCUCUUGGCUCUGGCAUCGAUGAAGAACGCAGC